Molecule: non-coding RNA, 602 nt
Organism: Dama dama (fallow deer)
Lineage: Eukaryota; Metazoa; Chordata; Mammalia; Artiodactyla; Cervidae
Source: the annotation of a RefSeq genome assembly
UCACCAACCACAUCAACAAGCCAUGACAUGACGCAGGCAAACUGCUAUCAGCCAGUUACAUCUCCUGUUCUGCUGCAGAAGCGUCUCACAGUUCAGUCACUGUGCGUGUGCCCUCAGGCACGGCUCAGGCAUCUGCUCAGAGGAAGAACUUCCCACAUGGGGCUCCCUGGCCUGCUCAGAGCUCUCAUAGCCUCCGUCUGCCUUGGAUCCAUCAUGGCCCAGAAAGUAACUCAAAACCAGUCAGAAAUUCCUGUGCUGGAGAAGGAGAAUGUAACCUUGAACUGUGCAUAUGAAGCUAAUAGUUAUUCUUAUUAUUUAUUCUGGUACAAGCAACCACCAAGUGGGGAAAUGAUUUUCCUUAUUCAUCAGGAGUCUUUCAAUGAGUUGAAUACAACAAAAGGUCAGUAUUUUUUGAACUUCAAGAAAGCAACGAGUUCCAUCAGCCUCACCAUCACAGACUUACAGCUCGAGGACUCAGCGGUGUAUUUCUGUGCUCUGAGAGACCACAAUGAUGCCGGUGCCUGAGGGAGCCCCACAGAAACCUCAGAUGUCAACAUGUGGAGUCCCCCAGCUAUGAACACCUUCGUGAGAUUCUCAGUAAG